RNAcentral lists this ribosomal RNA (2904 nucleotides) under Escherichia coli. RNAcentral describes it as "23S ribosomal RNA". It matches the Rfam family "Bacterial large subunit ribosomal RNA". Lineage: Bacteria; Pseudomonadati; Pseudomonadota; Gammaproteobacteria; Enterobacterales; Enterobacteriaceae. The record is from RNAcentral.
GGUUAAGCGACUAAGCGUACACGGUGGAUGCCCUGGCAGUCAGAGGCGAUGAAGGACGUGCUAAUCUGCGAUAAGCGUCGGUAAGGUGAUAUGAACCGUUAUAACCGGCGAUUUCCGAAUGGGGAAACCCAGUGUGUUUCGACACACUAUCAUUAACUGAAUCCAUAGGUUAAUGAGGCGAACCGGGGGAACUGAAACAUCUAAGUACCCCGAGGAAAAGAAAUCAACCGAGAUUCCCCCAGUAGCGGCGAGCGAACGGGGAGGAGCCCAGAGCCUGAAUCAGUGUGUGUGUUAGUGGAAGCGUCUGGAAAGGCGCGCGAUACAGGGUGACAGCCCCGUACACAAAAAUGCACAUAUUGUGAGCUCGAUGAGUAGGGCGGGACACGUGGUAUCCUGUCUGAAUAUGGGGGGACCAUCCUCCAAGGCUAAAUACUCCUGACUGACCGAUAGUGAACCAGUACCGUGAGGGAAAGGCGAAAAGAACCCCGGCGAGGGGAGUGAAAAAGAACCUGAAACCGUGUACGUACAAGCAGUGGGAGCACGCUUAGGCGUGUGACUGCGUACCUUUUGUAUAAUGGGUCAGCGACUUAUAUUCUGUAGCAAGGUUAACCGAAUAGGGGAGCCGAAGGGAAACCGAGUCUUAACUGGGCGUUAAGUUGCAGGGUAUAGACCCGAAACCCGGUGAUCUAGCCAUGGGCAGGUUGAAGGUUGGGUAACACUAACUGGAGGACCGAACCGACUAAUGUUGAAAAAUUAGCGGAUGACUUGUGGCUGGGGGUGAAAGGCCAAUCAAACCGGGAGAUAGCUGGUUCUCCCCGAAAGCUAUUUAGGUAGCGCCUCGUGAAUUCAUCUCCGGGGGUAGAGCACUGUUUCGGCAAGGGGGUCAUCCCGACUUACCAACCCGAUGCAAACUGCGAAUACCGGAGAAUGUUAUCACGGGAGACACACGGCGGGUGCUAACGUCCGUCGUGAAGAGGGAAACAACCCAGACCGCCAGCUAAGGUCCCAAAGUCAUGGUUAAGUGGGAAACGAUGUGGGAAGGCCCAGACAGCCAGGAUGUUGGCUUAGAAGCAGCCAUCAUUUAAAGAAAGCGUAAUAGCUCACUGGUCGAGUCGGCCUGCGCGGAAGAUGUAACGGGGCUAAACCAUGCACCGAAGCUGCGGCAGCGACGCUUAUGCGUUGUUGGGUAGGGGAGCGUUCUGUAAGCCUGCGAAGGUGUGCUGUGAGGCAUGCUGGAGGUAUCAGAAGUGCGAAUGCUGACAUAAGUAACGAUAAAGCGGGUGAAAAGCCCGCUCGCCGGAAGACCAAGGGUUCCUGUCCAACGUUAAUCGGGGCAGGGUGAGUCGACCCCUAAGGCGAGGCCGAAAGGCGUAGUCGAUGGGAAACAGGUUAAUAUUCCUGUACUUGGUGUUACUGCGAAGGGGGGACGGAGAAGGCUAUGUUGGCCGGGCGACGGUUGUCCCGGUUUAAGCGUGUAGGCUGGUUUUCCAGGCAAAUCCGGAAAAUCAAGGCUGAGGCGUGAUGACGAGGCACUACGGUGCUGAAGCAACAAAUGCCCUGCUUCCAGGAAAAGCCUCUAAGCAUCAGGUAACAUCAAAUCGUACCCCAAACCGACACAGGUGGUCAGGUAGAGAAUACCAAGGCGCUUGAGAGAACUCGGGUGAAGGAACUAGGCAAAAUGGUGCCGUAACUUCGGGAGAAGGCACGCUGAUAUGUAGGUGAAGUCCCUCGCGGAUGGAGCUGAAAUCAGUCGAAGAUACCAGCUGGCUGCAACUGUUUAUUAAAAACACAGCACUGUGCAAACACGAAAGUGGACGUAUACGGUGUGACGCCUGCCCGGUGCCGGAAGGUUAAUUGAUGGGGUUAGCGCAAGCGAAGCUCUUGAUCGAAGCCCCGGUAAACGGCGGCCGUAACUAUAACGGUCCUAAGGUAGCGAAAUUCCUUGUCGGGUAAGUUCCGACCUGCACGAAUGGCGUAAUGAUGGCCAGGCUGUCUCCACCCGAGACUCAGUGAAAUUGAACUCGCUGUGAAGAUGCAGUGUACCCGCGGCAAGACGGAAAGACCCCGUGAACCUUUACUAUAGCUUGACACUGAACAUUGAGCCUUGAUGUGUAGGAUAGGUGGGAGGCUUUGAAGUGUGGACGCCAGUCUGCAUGGAGCCGACCUUGAAAUACCACCCUUUAAUGUUUGAUGUUCUAACGUUGACCCGUAAUCCGGGUUGCGGACAGUGUCUGGUGGGUAGUUUGACUGGGGCGGUCUCCUCCUAAAGAGUAACGGAGGAGCACGAAGGUUGGCUAAUCCUGGUCGGACAUCAGGAGGUUAGUGCAAUGGCAUAAGCCAGCUUGACUGCGAGCGUGACGGCGCGAGCAGGUGCGAAAGCAGGUCAUAGUGAUCCGGUGGUUCUGAAUGGAAGGGCCAUCGCUCAACGGAUAAAAGGUACUCCGGGGAUAACAGGCUGAUACCGCCCAAGAGUUCAUAUCGACGGCGGUGUUUGGCACCUCGAUGUCGGCUCAUCACAUCCUGGGGCUGAAGUAGGUCCCAAGGGUAUGGCUGUUCGCCAUUUAAAGUGGUACGCGAGCUGGGUUUAGAACGUCGUGAGACAGUUCGGUCCCUAUCUGCCGUGGGCGCUGGAGAACUGAGGGGGGCUGCUCCUAGUACGAGAGGACCGGAGUGGACGCAUCACUGGUGUUCGGGUUGUCAUGCCAAUGGCACUGCCCGGUAGCUAAAUGCGGAAGAGAUAAGUGCUGAAAGCAUCUAAGCACGAAACUUGCCCCGAGAUGAGUUCUCCCUGACUCCUUGAGAGUCCUGAAGGAACGUUGAAGACGACGACGUUGAUAGGCCGGGUGUGUAAGCGCAGCGAUGCGUUGAGCUAACCGGUACUAAUGAACCGUGAGGCUUAACCUU